Molecule: long non-coding RNA, 667 nt
Organism: Amphiprion ocellaris (clown anemonefish)
Lineage: Eukaryota; Metazoa; Chordata; Actinopteri; Pomacentridae
Source: Ensembl
UGUCAUCUCUAAGCUCCUCACACAUCUUUACCUGCACAUGAGGAAAAUCACUCCUGUAGAAUGCAGAUGUUCAGAGGGAGCUGAUGCCACAUCUGGUCCAGCUGAUGGAAGGUCUUGAAGUUCUCUGACUGGCCUCGACUGAAGAUGGUCGUCUCACUGGAUUUAAGAUGCACAAUGAGGGACGUCUGCAGAGACUGAGAAAGAGUCUCACCACAUCCUGACAUGAGGAAAAAGACUUUAUUGAAGACUACAAUGAGAAAAACUAUCAGACAGCAGACGGCUGCAUUCAAGUCUGUAGCUGCUGAAUUCAUGGAUGAAUCAUCUGGCACUAGAGAGGAAGACCAUCAAACAUCCACGUCAGCUGAUGGAGGUCCAAGAGUCUCACCGAACAAACAACCUACAGAGUGAAGACCUCAAAUCUGAUUGGACGGCCUCCUAUUCAGCCACAUGUGUGAACAAAUGCCUCUAAGUUGAUUUGUUUUCUAAAAUAAAUCUAGUUUGAGUCCUAAUCUAUGCCUGUGUGUUUGCUUCUUUACAUCGCUGUUAACAGUUUAGGCUGUUAGAUUGUUCCAGAUAAGACAAGUAAAAGAUUCUUCAGAGCCGUUCUACCACGAGCCUGACAGGAAGAACUCCAACAGCUACUGAAUGUUCCUGUGGUUCCCUCAAG